Acanthosepion pharaonis is the source of this 112-nucleotide non-coding RNA. NCBI's taxonomy places the organism in Eukaryota, Metazoa, Mollusca, Cephalopoda, Sepiida, Sepiidae. The record is from the annotation of a GenBank genome assembly.
UAUGGCCACAUCAUGUUUAAACACUGGUUCCUGUAUGAUCACUGAAGUUGAGCAAUGUUGAGCUUGGUCAGUACUUAAAUGGGUGACCACUUGGGAAUAUCAGGUGCUGUAA